UGAGUUAGUAAAUUUUAAUUUUCUUAAUACACAUGCACGUUACAAAGAAAUAUAGUUUAAAACUGUCAUCCACUGAUUUUGUAACUUUCCACGCUUUAUGAGUCCAGAGUUCCUCACUUAAACGUGCUCACCUUGCGGUGGUUAGUUUGCUCCAUGUCUUGUGAUCGCCCUUGCUGUUGUAGCGCUCGUUGGCCUUGUCGAUGCUGGUGUUUGGGUGUGACCUCCUCGUAACCGCUUCUCUUGCUCGUGGAAGAUCGUCCUUGUACGGAUGCGAUAUCUUGAGGAAAG
This 288-nucleotide long non-coding RNA is filed under the name Brassica napus (rape). RNAcentral's name for it is "long non-coding RNA (BNAP_LNC013759)". Lineage: Eukaryota; Viridiplantae; Streptophyta; Magnoliopsida; Brassicales; Brassicaceae. The record is from RNAcentral.